RNAcentral lists this small RNA (893 nucleotides) under Paraconiothyrium sp. 1 NV-2015. Its description in RNAcentral is "eukaryotic LSU rRNA". It matches the Rfam family "Eukaryotic large subunit ribosomal RNA", at positions 50 to 960 of the family's 3401-position model. Lineage: Eukaryota; Fungi; Ascomycota; Dothideomycetes; Pleosporales; Didymosphaeriaceae. The record is from RNAcentral.
GCGGAGGAAAAGAAACCAACAGGGAUUGCCCUAGUAACGGCGAGUGAAGCGGCAACAGCUCAAAUUUGAAAUCUGGCUCUCUUUGAGGGUCCGAGUUGUAAUUUGCAGAGGAUGCUUUGGCAUUGGCGGCGGUCUAAGUUCCUUGGAACAGGACAUCGCAGAGGGUGAGAAUCCCGUACGUGGGCGCCUGCCUUUGCCGUGUAAAGCUCCUUCGACGAGUCGAGUUGUUUGGGAAUGCAGCUCUAAAUGGGAGGUAAAUUUCUUCUAAAGCUAAAUACCGGCCAGAGACCGAUAGCGCACAAGUAGAGUGAUCGAAAGAUGAAAAGUACUUUGGAAAGAGAGUCAAAAAGCACGUGAAAUUGUUGAAAGGGAAGCGCUUGCAGCCAGACUUGCCCGCAGUUGCUCACCUAGGCUUUGGCCUGGGGCACUCUUCUGCGGGCAGGCCAGCAUCAGUUUGGGCGGUUGGAUAAAGGCCUCUGUCACGUAUCUCCCUUCGGGGUGACCUUAUAGGGGAGGCGCAAUGCAACCAGCCCGGACUGAGGUCCGCGCAUCUGCUAGGAUGCUGGCGUAAUGGCUGUAAGCGGCCCGUCUUGAAACACGGACCAAGGAGUCUAACAUCUAUGCGAGUGUUUGGGUGUCAAGCCCGGGCGCGCAAUGAAAGUGAACGGAGGUGGGAACCCUUUGGGUGCACCAUCGACCGAUCCUGAUGUCUUCGGAUGGAUUUGAGUAAGAGCAUAGCUGUUGGGACCCGAAAGAUGGUGAACUAUGCUUGAAUAGGGUGAAGCCAGAGGAAACUCUGGUGGAGGCUCGCAGCGGUUCUGACGUGCAAAUCGAUCGUCAAAUUUGGGCAUAGGGGCGAAAGACUAAUCGAACCAUCUAGUAGCUGGUUCUGC